Mangifera indica (mango) is the source of this 1009-nucleotide long non-coding RNA. RefSeq lists it as uncharacterized. The record is from RefSeq and is a predicted model, not a curated record. The transcript is spliced from 2 exons. Lineage: Eukaryota; Viridiplantae; Streptophyta; Magnoliopsida; Sapindales; Anacardiaceae.
UCAUAUAGAAAAUAAAGGUCUUGUCUUUGAAUGGGGAGAGUUAAGUCCCUCAUCCUACAAUUGAAAGAGGUUGAAAAGACAUGGCACCAAAAACAGAAAUAGUUUAUGAGACCUUUAGCUUGGAAAGGGCAUUGAAAUGGUGCAAGAAAUAGUAAUUUACAAUUCACCAUUGUCUAAGCAAACCAACCUUUUCUUCUCUCUCUUUAUGAAUUCCCCCCUCUAUAUUUUCCCAUUCUUUCACCUAACAUGUACCACUCUCAUAUCUGCAAAUGAGGUGGCUGCAAUCCCUCUUCUCUCCAUUGAAGAAGCUCUGGUUUCGCAAGCAUUCGCCUCAGAGAAACAACAGAGGGAUUUACAUUUUAUAUGAAGAUGUGAAGUCUUGCCAAUGUGAAGAUGUGCAUGUCCUCUGGUCCAUUCUGGUGGAGUCCAAUAAAUCCUCUAUGUCAUUACAUCAUUGAAGCUACAUCUUUGUGAUGAACAAUGCUACAUGUACAUACUUUUGAAUACAUAAUUGGAUACACAAAUAAUGUGUUAUCAUAUGAUUAAGUGUUACUUUAUCCUUAAUUCAAAAUCAUUCAAUCACAAGAUAACACAUAAUCUGUAUACCCAAUUAUUUACUCAAAAAUAUGUACAUAUAGUUUUAUUGAUUCAUGGUAUCAAAUGAGCAUCAACUGUUCAAUCAAUCAUAUAUAUAUUGAAUAAUACUCUUUAAUGCCGUAUCAUGUGAUAAUGAAGUAUGAGCAUUUUGAGAAUGAUAGUAAAAAAAAUUAAUGGUUAGGAGAUGGGAAAUUUGCCAAUUAUGUGUGUGUGUGUAUAUAUAUAUAUAUUAUUGGUUUUUUUUUUCUUUCUUGGGUAAUUUGUAGCUACAAUGUUAUUUAAGUUUAUUUAUCUCUCUCUAGAACUGGCUUUGCUUUAAUGUUGAAGGAAGUUGGUUUGUCCAUUUCUUUGUGGUUGGUUGUAGUAGACAAAGAAAUAUUUCAAGGAACAUGUGAAUGUGUCUUCUUCAAAA